GACGAACGCUGGCGGCGUGCUUAACACAUGCAAGUCGAACGGGAAGGCCCGGCUUUUGUGGGGUGCGCGAGUGUCGCACGGGAGAGUCUCACGUGGGUAACCGGCCCUUAGCUUGAAGCGACCUCCAGGACACUGUGGCUAAUACCGGAAAGGGGCGACUGCGCCCGGGUGGGGGCUGGAAAGUUUCGGCGGUUGGGGAUGGGCACGAGGCUUAUCAGCUUGUUGGUGGGGUAGUGGCUGACCAAGGCUUUGACGGGUAGCCGGCCGGACAGGGUGACCGGCCACAAUGGGACGGCGAUACGGCCGAGACGCCUACGGGAGGCAGCAGUGGUGAAUAUUGCUCCAUGGGGGGAGGCAGGAUGCAGCAACGCCGCGGGCGGGAUGACGGCCUUCGGGUUGUAAACCGCUUCCGCCUGUGACGAAGCGUGAGUGACGGUAACGGGUAAAGAAGCACCGGCUAACUACGUG
RNAcentral lists this ribosomal RNA (468 nucleotides) under uncultured bacterium. RNAcentral's name for it is "partial 16S ribosomal RNA". It matches the Rfam family "Bacterial small subunit ribosomal RNA", at positions 28 to 507 of the family's 1533-position model. The record is from RNAcentral.